This 421-nucleotide ribosomal RNA is filed under the name uncultured bacterium. RNAcentral describes it as "bacterial SSU rRNA". It matches the Rfam family "Bacterial small subunit ribosomal RNA", at positions 355 to 773 of the family's 1533-position model. The record is from RNAcentral.
UAAGGAAUAUUGGACAAUGGGCGCAAGCCUGAUCCAGCCAUGCCGCGUGAAGGAUGACGGCCCUCUGGGUUGUAAACUUCUUUUAUACGGGAAUAAACCCCCUGAUUCUUCAGGGGCUGAAUGUACCGUAAGAAUAAGGAUCGGCUAACUUCGUGCCAGCAGCCGCGGUAAUACGAAGGAUCCAAGCGUUAUCCGGAUUUAUUGGGUUUAAAGGGUGCGUAGGCGGACUAUUAAGUCAGUGGUGAAAGCCUGCAGCUUAACUGCAGAACUGCCAUUGAUACUGAUGGUCUUGAGUACAUUUGAGGUGGGCGGAAUGUGUCAUGUAGUGGUGAAAUACUUAGAUAUGACACAGAACUCCGAUUGCGAAGGCAGCUCACUAAACUGUAACUGACGCUGAGGCACGAAAGCGUGGGGAUCAAAC